Molecule: ribosomal RNA, 423 nt
Filed under: Theileria ovis
Lineage: Eukaryota; Apicomplexa; Aconoidasida; Piroplasmida; Theileriidae
Description: SSU rRNA
Rfam family: Eukaryotic small subunit ribosomal RNA
Source: RNAcentral
UCCAGCUCCAAUAGCGUAUAUUAAAAUUGUUGCAGUUAAAAAGCUCGUAGUUGAAUUUCUGCUGCAUUGCUUUUGCUCCUUUACGAGUCUUUGCAUUGUGGCUUAUUUCGGACUUUGUUUUACAAUGUCCGGAUGUUUACUUUGAGAAAAUUAGAGUGCUCAAAGCAGGCUUUCGCCUUGAAUAGUUUAGCAUGGAAUAAUAAAGUAGGACUUUGGUUCUAUUUUGUUGGUUUUAGGUACCAAAGUAAUGGUUAAUAGGAACAGUUGGGGGCAUUCGUAUUUAACUGUCAGAGGUGAAAUUCUUAGAUUUGUUAAAGACGAACUACUGCGAAAGCAUUUGCCAAGGAUGUUUUCAUUAAUCAAGAACGAAAGUUAGGGGAUCGAAGACGAUCAGAUACCGUCGUAGUCCUAACCAUAAACUAA